RNAcentral lists this ribosomal RNA (253 nucleotides) under uncultured bacterium. Its description in RNAcentral is "partial 16S ribosomal RNA". It matches the Rfam family "Bacterial small subunit ribosomal RNA", at positions 524 to 776 of the family's 1533-position model. The record is from RNAcentral.
CACGUAGGGUGCGAGCGUUGUCCGGAAUUAUUGGGCGUAAAGAGCUCGUAGGCGGUUUGUCGCGUCUGCUGUGAAAACUCGGGGCUUAACUCCGGGCCUGCAGUGGGUACGGGCAGACUAGAGUGCGGUAGGGGAGACUGGAAUUCCUGGUGUAGCGGUGAAAUGCGCAGAUAUCAGGAGGAACACCGGUGGCGAAGGCGGGUCUCUGGGCCGUAACUGACGCUGAGGAGCGAAAGCGUGGGGAGCGAACAGG